CAGCAGCCACGGGAAUACGAAGGGUGCAAGCGUUAAUCGGAAUUACUGGGCGUAAAGCGUGCGUAGGCGGUGAGUUAAGUCUGCUGUGAAAUCCCCGGGCUCAACCUGGGAAUGGCAGUGGAUACUGGCUCGCUAGAGUGUGUCAGAGGAUGGUGGAAUUCCCGGUGUAGCGGUGAAAUGCGUAGAGAUCGGGAGGAACAUCAGUGGCGAAGGCGGCCAUCUGGGACAACACUGACGCUGAGGCACGAAAGCGUGGGGAGCAAACAGGAUUAGAUACCCCAGUAGUCCCUGUCUCUUAUAA
This 301-nucleotide ribosomal RNA is filed under the name uncultured bacterium. RNAcentral describes it as "partial 16S ribosomal RNA". It matches the Rfam family "Bacterial small subunit ribosomal RNA", at positions 509 to 809 of the family's 1533-position model. The record is from RNAcentral.